Molecule: ribosomal RNA, 237 nt
Filed under: uncultured bacterium
Lineage: Bacteria
Description: partial 16S ribosomal RNA
Rfam family: Bacterial small subunit ribosomal RNA
Source: RNAcentral
UGAGUAACCUGCCCUUAACUCUGGGAUAAGCCUGGGAAACUGGGUCUAAUACCGGAUAUGACUCCUCAUCGCAUGGUGGGGGGUGGAAAGCUUUUUUGUGGUUUUGGAUGGACUCGCGGCCUAUCAGCUUGUUGGUGAGGUAAUGGCUCACCAAGGCGACGACGGGUAGCCGGCCUGAGAGGGUGACCGGCCACACUGGGACUGAGACACGGCCCAGACCUCCGUACGGGGAGGCAG